Helianthus annuus (common sunflower) is the source of this 367-nucleotide long non-coding RNA. RefSeq lists it as uncharacterized. The transcript is spliced from 2 exons. NCBI's taxonomy places the organism in Eukaryota, Viridiplantae, Streptophyta, Magnoliopsida, Asterales, Asteraceae. The record is from RefSeq and is a predicted model, not a curated record.
CGAACAACCUGCUUGGAUUUUAACUCCGGCCACCAUCAAGCCCCAACCACGUCGAACAAGCCCUAACUGCCAUCUCGAAAUUGGUCAAUGUGGAUCACAUGAAGCUCCAAAAAGGGAAAGUUCAAGUGAGAGCAAGUUGAGGAAUAUAUUGCAAGGAUCAGAGUAGAGUAUGUGCUUAACUAUGGGGCAGGGGUGGUGAUUCGAUGUUUGUGGGAGAUGUACCAUGGGAGUAAUGUUUGAAGCAACUUAACUUGUUUUGUUUGUCCACUUUCAUUAUGUUAUUUCCAGUUUAGUGUUGUAGCAUAUAGAAAGGAACUAAACUCAAGUAAUAAGAAUAAUUAAUAAAUUUCAGAGGUUUGAUUUGUUA